GGAAUAUCAUUUCCUUUUUAUUUUUCACGAUAAAGCUGCUCACUUUCCCUUUCUCUCAAAAAUUCUCCUUUUUCUUUUGACAAAACAAAAAUUUCUAGCAGAUCCCUUCUCCUUGCAUCAUGAAGGUCGUUCGCUUGUGGGAGCGGCGAUAUCGCAGAUGGCGUUUGUGACAUUUUUCGGUGGGGGUUUUUCGACAAUGUUCUCGGAUUCCGAUCUGUUUCUCAUCCCUUUUUCCUGCAAUUUCUUGUGCAUUUUGUUCUUAAUUUGA
Non-coding RNA from Vicia faba (fava bean), 268 nucleotides. NCBI's taxonomy places the organism in Eukaryota, Viridiplantae, Streptophyta, Magnoliopsida, Fabales, Fabaceae. The record is from the annotation of a GenBank genome assembly.